Cebus imitator (Panamanian white-faced capuchin) is the source of this 9576-nucleotide RNA transcript. It is a transcript of the gene named acetyl-CoA carboxylase beta, with no coding region annotated. NCBI's taxonomy places the organism in Eukaryota, Metazoa, Chordata, Mammalia, Primates, Cebidae. The record is from RefSeq and is a predicted model, not a curated record. The transcript has 53 exons.
AAUUUAGAAAUAAAGCGAGUUAUGGGAUGGACAGGCAGACAGCAGAACUCUCCCGGGAGGAGCCAGGGCCGCUGCGCAGGUGGUUUGGCAUGGGAUCUUUCUCUUCUUUGCCCUGGAUUGUUGCUGCUAUUCAGGGCUCUGAGGGUUAAGUGCUCCAGGAUAUUUUUAAACAGCAGGGGCCGGUUAAUCUAAAAGUGACAUUUGCAGUCCCCACAGUAAACAGCCAGCAGGCUUAGAUUCAGGCCCUCGGCAAACAAGGAACCUGGAAAAUGUAACUCUGAAUGCACAGUUGGGAGGACAUGGCAAGACAAAAGCUGCAGGAAUAAAGUGAUUUUCUGAAUGGUCUUGCUUCUUUUCCUAUGUUGUCUGAUUUUCUCCUGUCUGACCUUUUCCUGGUUAAAAAUCUGGGGGAAAAUGACGGACUCCAAGCCGAUCACCAAGAGCAAGUCAGAAGCAAACUUCAUCCCAAGCCAGGAGCCCUUUCCAGACUCUGAAAACUUAGGGGAGACACCGCAGAGAAAUGAGGAGGGCCGCUCUCUGCCCAAGACUCCCAGCCAGGCCGAGCCAGCCUCCCACAAAGGCCCCAAAGGUGCCGGUUGGCGGAGGAACUCCCUGCCACCCUCCCACCAGAAGCCCCCAAAAAACCCCAUUUCUUCCAAUGAUGCAGCACCCUCCCCAGAGCUCCAAGCCAAUGGGACCGGGACACAGGGCCUGGAGGCCCCAGAUACCAAUGGCCUGUCCUCCCCAGCCAGGCCCCAGGGCCAGCAAGCCAGCUCCCCCUCCAAAGAAGACAAGAAGCAGGCAAACAUCAAGAGGCAGCUGAUGACCAGCUUCAUCCUGGGCUCUUUUGAUGACUGCUCCUCUGACGAGGACUCUGUUACUGGCUCAUCUCGUGAGACUCCCCGGAAGGGCAGCCGGGCCAGCCUGGGAUCCCUGACCCUGGAGGCUCCUCUGACCGCAGGUGAACCUGAGACCCGCAUCCCCACUAUGAGGCCAAGCAUGUCGGGACUCCACCUGGUGAAGAGGGGACGGGAACACAAGAAGCUGGACCUGCACAGAGACUUUACCGUGGCUUCUCCUGCUGAGUUUGUCACACGCUUUGGGGGGGAUCGGGUCAUCGAGAAGGUGCUUAUUGCCAACAACGGGAUCGCCGCCGUGAAGUGCAUGCGCUCCAUCCGCAGGUGGGCCUACGAGAUGUUCCGAAACGAGCGGGCCAUCCGGUUUGUUGUGAUGGUGACCCCCGAGGACCUCAAGGCCAAUGCAGAGUACAUCAAGAUGGCAGAUCAGUAUGUGCCUGUCCCGGGAGGGCCCAAUAACAACAACUAUGCCAAUGUCGAGCUGAUUGUGGACAUUGCCAAGAGAAUCCCCGUGCAGGCGGUGUGGGCUGGCUGGGGCCAUGCUUCUGAAAACCCUAAACUUCCGGAGCUGCUGUGCAAGAAUGGAGUUGCUUUCUUAGGCCCUCCCAGUGAGGCCAUGUGGGCCUUAGGAGAUAAGAUCGCCUCCACCAUCGUGGCCCAGACUCUGCAGAUCCCAACCCUGCCCUGGAGCGGAAGUGGCCUGACAGUGGAGUGGACAGAAGAUGAUCUGCAGCAGCGGGAAAGAAUCAGUGUACCAGAAGACGUUUACGACCAGGGUUGCGUGAAAGAUGUAGACGAGGGCUUGGAGGCAGCAGAAAAAAUUGGUUUUCCAUUGAUGAUCAAAGCUUCUGAAGGUGGCGGAGGGAAGGGAAUCCGGAAGGCUGAGAGUGUGGAGGACUUCCCGAUCCUUUUCAGACAAGUACAGAGUGAGAUCCCAGGCUCGCCCAUCUUUCUCAUGAAGCUGGCCCAGCACGCCCGUCACCUGGAAGUUCAGAUCCUCGCUGACCAGUAUGGGAACGCUGUGUCUCUGUUUGGUCGAGACUGCUCCAUCCAGCGGCGGCAUCAGAAGAUCAUUGAGGAGGCACCGGCCACCAUCGCCCCGCUGGCCGUGUUCGAGUUCAUGGAGCAGUGUGCUGUCCGCCUGGCCAAGACCGUGGGCUACGUUAGUGCAGGGACAGUGGAAUACCUCUACAGCCAGGACGGCAGCUUCCACUUCUUGGAGCUGAAUCCUCGCCUGCAGGUGGAACAUCCCUGCACAGAAAUGAUCGCUGACGUCAAUCUGCCGGCCGCCCAGCUACAGAUCGCCAUGGGCGUACCUCUGCACCGGCUGAAGGACAUCCGGCUUCUAUACGGAGAGUCGCCAUGGGGAGUGACUCCCAUUUCUUUUGAAACCCCCUCAAACCCUCCCCUCGCCCGAGGCCACGUCAUUGCUGCCAGAAUCACCAGCGAAAACCCAGAUGAGGGGUUUAAGCCGAGCUCUGGGACCGUCCAGGAACUGAAUUUCCGCAGCAGCAAGAACGUGUGGGGUUACUUCAGCGUGGCCGCUGCCGGAGGCCUGCACGAGUUUGCGGAUUCCCAGUUUGGGCACUGCUUCUCCUGGGGAGAGAACCGGGAAGAGGCCAUUUCGAACAUGGUGGUGGCUUUGAAGGAACUGUCCAUCCGGGGUGACUUUAGGACCACCGUGGAAUACCUCAUUAACCUUCUGGAGACCGAGAGCUUCCAGAACAACGACAUUGACACCGGGUGGCUGGACUGCCUCAUCGCCGAGAAAGUGCAGGCCGAGAAGCCGGAUAUCAUGCUCGGGGUGGUAUGCGGGGCCUUGAAUGUGGCUGAUGCGAUGUUCAGGACGUGCAUGACAGAUUUCUUACACUCCCUGGAAAGGGGCCAGGUCCUCCCAGCAGAUUCACUACUGAACAUUGUAGACGUGGAAUUAAUUUAUGGAGGUGUUAAGUACAUUCUCAAGGUGGCCCGGCAGUCUCUGACCAUGUUCGUUCUCAUCAUGAAUGGCUGCCACAUCGAGAUCGACGCCCACCGGCUGAACGAUGGGGGGCUGCUGCUGUCCUACAAUGGGAACAGCUACACCACCUACAUGAAGGAAGAGGUGGACAGUUACCGAAUUACCAUUGGCAAUAAGACGUGUGUGUUUGAGAAGGAGAACGACCCUACAGUCCUGAGAUCUCCCUCGGCUGGGAAGCUGACACAGUACACAGUGGAGGACGGGGGCCACGUGGAGGCUGGGAGCAGCUACGCUGAGAUGGAGGUGAUGAAGAUGAUCAUGACCCUGAACGUGCAGGAAAGUGGCCGGGUGAAAUACCUCAAGCGUCCAGGGGCCAUGCUGGAAGCAGGCUGCGUGGUGGCCAGACUGGAGCUUGAUGACCCUUCUAAAGUUCACCCGGCUGAACCGUUCACAGGAGAACUCCCCGCCCAGCAGACGUUGCCCAUUCUCGGAGAGAAACUGCACCAGGUCUUCCACAACGUCCUGGAAAACCUCACCAACAUCAUGAGUGGCUUCUGUCUGCCAGAGCCCAUUUUUAGCAUAAAGCUGAAGGAGUGGGUGCAGAAGCUCAUGGUGACCCUCCGGCACCCAUCACUGCCGCUGCUGGAGCUGCAGGAGAUCAUGACCAGCGUGGCUGGCCGCAUCCCCGUCCCCGUGGAGAAGUCGGUCCGCAGGGUGAUGGCCCAGUACGCCAGCAACAUCACCUCGGUGCUGUGCCAGUUCCCCAGCCAGCAGAUCGCCACCAUCCUGGACUGCCAUGCGGCCACCCUGCAGCGGAAGGCUGACCGGGAGGUCUUCUUCAUCAACACCCAGAGCAUCGUGCAGUUGGUCCAGAGAUACCGCAGCGGGACCCGUGGCUAUAUGAAAACAGUGGUGCUGGAUCUCCUGAGAAGAUACUUGCACGUCGAGCACCAUUUUCAGCAAGCUCACUACGACAAGUGUGUGAUAAACCUCAGGGAGCAGUUCAAGCCAGACAUGUCCCAGGUGCUGGACUGCAUCUUCUCCCACGCGCAGGUGGCCAAGAAGAACCAGCUGGUGAUCAUGUUAAUCGAUGAGCUGUGUGGCCCAGACCCUUCCCUGUCGGACGAGCUGACCUCCAUCCUCAACGAGCUCACUCAGCUGAGCAAAAGUGAGCACUGCAAAGUGGCCCUCAGAGCCCGGCAGAUCCUGAUUGCCUCCCACCUCCCCUCCUACGAGCUGCGGCACAACCAGGUGGAGUCCAUUUUCCUGUCUGCCAUUGACAUGUAUGGCCACCAGUUCUGCCCUGAGAACCUCAAGAAAUUAAUACUUUCGGAAACAACCAUCUUCGACGUCCUGCCUUCUUUCUUCUAUCACGCUAACAAAGUCGUGUGCAUGGCGUCCUUGGAGGUUUACGUGCGGAGGGGCUACAUCGCCUAUGAGUUAAACAGCCUGCAGCACCGGCAGCUCCCUGACGGCACCUGCGUGGUGGAAUUUCAGUUCAUGCUGCCCUCCUCUCACCCAAACCGGAUGACCGUGCCCAUCAGCAUCACCAACCCUGACCUGCUGAGGCACAGCACGGAGCUCUUCAUGGACAGCGGCUUCUCCCCACUGUGUCAGCGCAUGGGGGCCAUGGUAGCCUUCAGGAGAUUCGAGGACUUUACCAGAAACUUUGAUGAAGUCAUCUCCUGCUUCGCCAACGUGCCCAAAGACACCCCCCUCUUCAGUGAGGCCCGCACCUCCCUGUAUUCUGAGGAUGACUGCAAGAGCCUCAGAGAAGAGCCCAUUCACAUUCUGAACGUGUCCAUCCAAUGUGCAGACCGCCUGGAAGAUGAGGCACUGGUGCCGAUUUUACGGACAUUCGUACAGUCCAAGAAAAAUAUCCUUGUGGAUUAUGGACUCCGACGAAUCACAUUCCUGAUUGCCCAAGAGAAAGAAUUUCCCAAGUUUUUCACAUUCAGAGCAAGAGAUGAGUUCGCGGAAGAUCGCAUUUACCGCCACUUGGAGCCUGCCCUGGCCUUCCAGCUGGAACUCAGCCGGAUGCGUAACUUCGAUCUGACCGCUGUGCCCUGUGCCAACCACAAGAUGCACCUUUACCUGGGUGCUGCCAAGGUGAAGGAAGGGGCAGAAGUGACGGAUCAUAGGUUCUUCAUCCGCGCCAUCAUCAGGCACUCGGACCUGAUUACAAAGGAAGCCUCCUUUGAGUACCUGCAGAAUGAGGGGGAGCGGCUGCUGCUGGAGGCCAUGGACGAGCUGGAGGUGGCGUUCAACAACACCAGCGUGCGCACCGACUGCAACCACAUCUUCCUCAACUUCGUGCCCACCGUCAUCAUGGACCCCUUCAAGAUCGAGGAGUCCGUGCGCUCCAUGGUUAUGCGCUACGGCAGCCGGUUGUGGAAACUCCGCGUGCUGCAGGCCGAGGUCAAGAUCAACAUCCGCCAGACCACCACCGGCAGUGCCGUUCCCAUCCGCCUGUUCAUCACCAACGAGUCAGGCUACUACCUGGACAUCAGCAUCUACAAAGAAGUGACCGACCCCAGAUCCGGAAAUAUCAUGUUUCACUCCUUCGGCAACAAGCAAGGCCCCCAGCACGGAAUGCUGAUCAAUACUCCCUACGUCACCAAGGAUCUGCUCCAGGCCAAGCGAUUCCAGGCCCAGUCCCUGGGAACCACCUACAUCUAUGAUUUCCCGGAAAUGUUCAGGCAGGCUCUCUUUAAACUGUGGGGCUCCCCAGACAAGUAUCCCAAAGACAUCCUGACUUAUACUGAGUUAGUGUUGGCCUCUCAGGGCCAGUUGGUGGAGAUGAACCGACUUCCUGGUGGAAACGAGGUGGGCAUGGUGGCCUUCAAAAUGAGGUUUAAGACCCUGGAGUACCCAGAAGGGCGAGACGUGAUCGUCAUCGGCAACGACAUCACCUUUCGCAUCGGGUCCUUUGGCCCCGGGGAGGACCUUCUAUAUCUGCGAGCAUCCGAGAUGGCCCGGGCAGAGGGCAUUCCCAAAAUCUACGUGGCAGCCAACAGUGGGGCCCGGAUUGGCCUGGCAGAGGAGAUCAAACACAUGUUCCACGUGGCUUGGGUGGAUCCAGAAGACCCCCACAAAGGAUUUAAAUACCUGUACCUGACUCCCCAAGACUACACCAGAAUCAGCUCCCUGAACUCCGUCCACUGUAAACACAUCGAGGAAGGAGGAGAAUCCAGAUAUAUGAUCACGGAUAUCAUCGGGAAGGAUGAUGGCUUGGGUGUGGAGAAUCUGAGGGGCUCAGGCACGAUUGCUGGGGAGUCCUCCCGGGCUUACGAAGAGAUCGUCACCAUUAGCUUGGUGACCUGCCGAGCCCUUGGGAUCGGGGCCUACUUGGUGAGGCUGGGCCAGCGAGUGAUCCAGGUGGAGAACUCCCACAUCAUCCUCACAGGAGCAAGUGCUCUCAACAAGGUCCUGGGAAAAGAGGUCUACACAUCCAACAACCAGCUGGGUGGCGUUCAGAUCAUGCAUUACAAUGGCGUCUCCCACAUCACCGUGCCAGAUGACUUUGAGGGGGUUUAUACCAUCCUGGAGUGGCUGUCCUAUAUCCCAAAGGAUAAUCACAGCCCUGUCCCUAUCAUCACACCCACUGACCCCAUUGACAGAGAAAUUGAAUUCCUUCCAUCCAGAACUCCCUAUGACCCCCGGUGGAUGCUUGCAGGAAGGCCUCACCCAACUCUGAAGGGAACGUGGCAGAGUGGAUUCUUUGACCAUGGCAGUUUCAAGGAAAUCAUGGCACCCUGGGCACAGACUGUGGUGACGGGACGAGCAAGGCUUGGGGGGAUUCCGGUGGGAGUGAUCGCCGUGGAGACGAGGACCGUGGAGGUGGCGAUCCCUGCAGACCCUGCCAACCUGGAUUCUGAGGCCAAGAUAAUUCAGCAGGCAGGACAGGUGUGGUUCCCAGACUCAGCCUACAAAACUGCCCAGGCCAUCAAGGACUUCAACCGGGAGAAGUUGCCACUGAUGAUCUUUGCCAAUUGGAGGGGGUUCUCUGGUGGCAUGAAAGACAUGUACGACCAGGUGCUGAAGUUCGGAGCCUACAUCGUGGACAGCCUCAGACAAUAUAAACAGCCCAUCCUGAUCUAUAUCCCGCCCUAUGCGGAGCUCCGGGGAGGCUCCUGGGUGGUCAUAGAUGCCACUAUCAACCCGCUGUGCAUAGAAAUGUAUGCAGACAAAGAGAGCAGGGGUGGUGUUCUGGAGCCAGAGGGGACAGUGGAGAUUAAAUUCCGAAAGAAAGAUCUGAUAAAGUCGAUGAGAAGGAUCGAUCCAGCUUACAAGAAGCUCGUGGAACAGCUAGGGGAACCCAAUCUCUCCGACAAGGACCGCAAGGACCUGGAGGGCCGGCUGAAGGCCCGCGAGGACCUGCUGCUCCCCAUCUACCACCAGGUGGCGGUGCAGUUUGCCGACCUCCACGACACGCCCGGCCGGAUGCUGGAGAAGGGCGUCACGUCUGCCUGGCUCAUCUGCAGGACAUCCUGGAGUGGAAGACCUCGCGCACCUUCCUGUACUGGCGCCUGCGCCGCCUCCUCCUGGAGGACCAGGUCAAGCAGGAGAUCCUGCGGGCCAGCGGGGAGCUGAGUCACGUGCACAUCCAGUCCAUGCUACGCCGCUGGUUCGUGGAGACGGAGGGGGCUGUCAAGGCCUACCUGUGGGACAACAACCAGGCGGUUGUACAGUGGCUGGAACAGCACUGGCAGGCGGGGGACGGCCUGCGCUCCACCAUCCGCGAGAACAUCACCUAUCUGAAGCGCGACUCUGUCCUCAAGACCAUCCGAGACCUGGUUGAAGAGAACCCCGAGGUGGCCGCGGACUGUGUGAUAUACCUGAGCCACCACAUCAGCCCAGCCGAGCGGGCGCAGGUGGUUCACUUGCUGUCUACCAUGGACAGCCCGGCCUCCACCUGACCCCGGCCCGCCCAGCCACUCCCGGGACCACGCAAGAGAAACCACCCAGACCCACCGCCCGUACAACCUCAGCAGGACCUUGAAGGCUUGCUUUUUAAAAAAGAAAAUCCUGGCGCUUCUACAGGGCUGCUGGUUCCGAGCUGACACCCAUCUCAAUGAAAGGCCCAGGAGAGCCUCUUCCAAACAGAAACAGCCUCCUUUCCAUAGCUGGGAAGUUUAUACUGUUUUGUCUCUGAAGACGGCAUUUUUGUUGCAUCACUAAAUCAAAUCCAGCUAAGACAUCCCUGUUUCCUUCUACGAAACAGUGCCUGACACGUGGGAUCCAGGCAUUCUUUGGGCUCAUUUGAUAUCACAUCAUUAAAUCUUUUAUUUUUUUACUCUGAGACCAGCACUAGAUAUAAGCAUCUUAUAUAUUUCAGCCAAAUAAAUGAGCCAGGGAAAAACAUGUAGAGAGAGACAGGACUAGAGAAAACCUAUUUUUGUAAUGAUGUUUCUUUGGAUACCGUCUAGUCACCCAGGAAAACGUAUGUAUAAUUUUUUUUAAGACAGUCUCAGGCUGGAGUGCAGUGGUGCAAUCUCACUGUGACCUCCGUUUUCCAGGGUCAAGUGGUUCUCCUGUCUCAGCCUCCCAAGUAGCUGGGAUUACAGGUACCCACCACCACACCUGACUAAUUUUUGUAUUUUUAGUAAAGACAGGGUUUCACCAUGUUGGUCAGGCUGAUCUCGAACUCCUGACCUCAAGUAAUCUGCCCAAACCUUGGCAGUGUAAUCACAAAGUGCUGGGAUUACAGGCAUGAGCCACCAUCCUCAGCCAGAUGAGUUUUUGUUGAGAGAAUGAAAUGGUAUUUUGUUCCCCACAUGGCCCUAGUGAAUCACCAGGAGUGUCUCCCUGGUAGGCCAUGUUUAGCGCGGGUUGGCAGGAUUCUCUUUUUGAGAGAGGAAAGCAAAAUGAAUGGAAGUGCCUGCUGAAGGUUUCAGGACGUCUGGAGGAUGCUCUCACGUAGCUCGAGGUCCUCUGCCUGCCUCCCUCCAAGGAAAAUGAGGACUCCCCUUCCCCCUGCAGGACUGGUCCCCAGCCUGUGCAUGCACCCUCCUCCUGCCCAAGUGGGGAGCACAGAGGCGGAGGGGAACACCUCACCACGCUCAUAGCCCAGCUUACUCACUAGUGUCACCUCUGUGAUGGUCACCACUGCUCCCUUGGAGGGCCACUGGAGUCACUGUUGUUCCCUUGCCUGCUGGCUUGAUGAACACAGAUGGUGGGAUCUGACCCUGAGGAGCAGAGCUGUCAGUGACCAAGGACCAGAUUGUGGUGACCAUGCCGAUUUGCGGUCAUGGGAACGCAUCCAGCAGCUCCUGGCUCUGCAGGCGCCACAGUCUAGGGCCCUGCGCUCCUCUGGUUUCCCCCAUAGGGGUGGAGCCGGGGGUGGGGGGAGUUGGCCACAACCCACUGCCGUGGUGGGUGGUUUGUCCGAGGGUGCUGAAUGUCAUGGCUGGUCAAUGUGGAAGCCCACAAGGUCGCCCAGGGAAGCCUCCAAAAGCUGGGAUGCUUGGGGGCAUCCAAGUUUAAAAAGACAGAAUCUGACCAUUAGCCAAUGACAACCCUGGCAAAUGAAGGUGGGCGGGCAGUGAGGGGUGGGAGAAGGUGCAUUAUUCAUUAUUCCAUCCUGAGGUCUGCUGUAGGGUUGAGGGGAGGAAUCAAUGCUGCUUUGGGAACUGAAGGUUUUUCUCUUGGAAAGGCCCUCUUGGUUUUGGAGAGAAAGACAAGUUAUGGGUCGCUGCUACCUUGGAACUGGGCAGAGAGCCCACCAGGAAAUGUGCAGAAUAAACUAUUUUUUGAAGGAAA